UACGUAGGGUGCGAGCGUUAAUCGGAAUUACUGGGCGUAAAGCGUGCGCAGGCGGUUCGCUGUGUCCGAUGUGAAAGCCCCGGGCUUAACCUGGGAAUGGCAUUGGAAACUGGCGAGCUUGAGUGCGGCAGAGGGGGGUGGAAUUCCGCGUGUAGCAGUGAAAUGCGUAGAGAUGCGGAGGAACACCGAUGGCGAAGGCAGCCCCCUGGGUCGACACUGACGCUCAGGCACGAAAGCGUGGGGAGCAAACAGG
RNAcentral lists this ribosomal RNA (253 nucleotides) under uncultured bacterium. RNAcentral's name for it is "partial 16S ribosomal RNA". It matches the Rfam family "Bacterial small subunit ribosomal RNA", at positions 524 to 776 of the family's 1533-position model. The record is from RNAcentral.